Molecule: ribosomal RNA, 1151 nt
Filed under: Shigella sp. AB524-2
Lineage: Bacteria; Pseudomonadati; Pseudomonadota; Gammaproteobacteria; Enterobacterales; Enterobacteriaceae
Description: bacterial SSU rRNA
Rfam family: Bacterial small subunit ribosomal RNA
Source: RNAcentral
AGAGUUUGAUCAUGGCUCAGAUUGAACGCUGGCGGCAGGCCUAACACAUGCAAGUCGAACGGUAACAGGAAACAGCUUGCUGUUUCGCUGACGAGUGGCGGACGGGUGAGUAAUGUCUGGGAAACUGCCUGAUGGAGGGGGAUAACUACUGGAAACGGUAGCUAAUACCGCAUAACGUCGCAAGACCAAAGAGGGGGACCUUCGGGCCUCUUGCCAUCGGAUGUGCCCAGAUGGGAUUAGCUAGUAGGUGGGGUAACGGCUCACCUAGGCGACGAUCCCUAGCUGGUCUGAGAGGAUGACCAGCCACACUGGAACUGAGACACGGUCCAGACUCCUACGGGAGGCAGCAGUGGGGAAUAUUGCACAAUGGGCGCAAGCCUGAUGCAGCCAUGCCGCGUGUAUGAAGAAGGCCUUCGGGUUGUAAAGUACUUUCAGCGGGGAUGAAGGGAGUAAAGUUAAUACCUUUGCUCAUUGACGUUACCCGCAGAAGAAGCACCGGCUAACUCCGUGCCAGCAGCCGCGGUAAUACGGAGGGUGCAAGCGUUAAUCGGAAUUACUGGGCGUAAAGCGCACGCAGGCGGUUUGUUAAGUCAGAUGUGAAAUCCCCGGGCUCAACCUGGGAACUGCAUCUGAUACUGGCAAGCUUGAGUCUCGUAGAGGGGGGUAGAAUUCCAGGUGUAGCGGUGAAAUGCGUAGAGAUCUGGAGGAAUACCGGUGGCGAAGGCGGCCCCCUGGACGAAGACUGACGCUCAGUGCGAAAGCGUGGGGGAGCAAACAGGAUUAGAUACCCUGGUAGUCCACGCCGUAAACGAUGUCGACUUGGAGGUUGUGCCCUUGAGGCGUGGCUUCCGAAGCUAACGCGUUAAGUCGACCGCCUGGGGAGUACGGCCGCAAGGUUAAAACUCAAUGAAUUUGACGGGGCCCGCACAAGCGGUGGAGCAUGUGUUUAAUUCGAUGCAACGCGAGAACCUUACCUGGUCUUGACAUCCACGGAGUUUCAGAGAUGAGAUGGUGCCUUCCGGGACCGUGAGACAGUGCUGCAUGCUGUCGUUCACCUCUGGUUGUUGAAUGUUGGUUAGUUCCCGCCACCGACGCAACCUAUCCUUUGUUGGCAGCGUCCGGCGGAACUCAAGAAACUGCAUGUAUAAACU